AAUCUUAUAUUUUAUUAUAAAAUAUUAAAUUGCAAAUUUAAAGAAGAUUAUAUUCUAAGAUUU
RNAcentral lists this transfer RNA (63 nucleotides) under Ixodes philipi. RNAcentral's name for it is "tRNA-Cys". Lineage: Eukaryota; Metazoa; Arthropoda; Arachnida; Ixodida; Ixodidae. The record is from RNAcentral.